This 396-nucleotide ribosomal RNA is filed under the name uncultured bacterium. Its description in RNAcentral is "partial 16S ribosomal RNA". It matches the Rfam family "Bacterial small subunit ribosomal RNA", at positions 523 to 918 of the family's 1533-position model. The record is from RNAcentral.
AUACGUAGGGAGCAAGCGUUGUCCGGAAUUACUGGGCGUAAAGGGCGUGUAGGCGGCCGAUCAAGUCAGGUGUGAAAUUUCAGGGCUCAACCCUGAGCGUGCACUUGAAACUGGUUGGCUUGAGUGCAGAAGAGGAAAGUGGAAUUCCCAGUGUAGCGGUGAAAUGCGUAGAUAUUGGGAGGAACACCAGUGGCGAAGGCGACUUUCUGGUCUGUAACUGACGCUGAGGCGCGAAAGCGUGGGGAGCAAACAGGAUUAGAUACCCUGGUAGUCCACGCUGUAAACGAUCAAUACUAGGUGUGCGGGGACUGACCCCCUGCGUGCCGCAGUUAACACAAUAAGUAUUGCACCUGGGGAGUACGAUCGCAAGGUUGAAACUCAAAGGAAUUGACGGGG